GUGUAUUUGCUGUGGGAGUAAACACAUUUGCCUUACAAAGUGUCUGUGGAAAUAUGCAAAGCUCAUUGAGAGUCACUAGGACAAAAGUGACUUUGUGUCAAGCAGUGCAACAGAAAGCCAAGCAAAAAUGGUUUUCAAACGUGGGACUCCAGGAAUACUGAAUGAAGAACUGAAUGGGCCUCAGAUCUCCUUUAGCAAAAAGGUCCCAUUGGAGCUGUUGGUUGC
RNAcentral lists this long non-coding RNA (225 nucleotides) under Gallus gallus (chicken). RNAcentral describes it as "long non-coding RNA NONGGAT003807". Lineage: Eukaryota; Metazoa; Chordata; Aves; Galliformes; Phasianidae. The record is from RNAcentral.